UACGUAGGGUCCGAGCGUUGUCCGGAAUUAUUGGGCGUAAAGAGCUCGUAGGCGGUCUGUCGCGUUGGCUGUGAAAUCCCGAGGCUCAACCUCGGGUCUGCAGUCGAUACGGGCAAACUAGAGUAUUGCAGGGGAGACUGGAAUUCCUGGUGUAGAGGUGAAAUUCGUAGAUAUCGAGAGGAACACCGGUGGCGAAGGCGGCCUGCUGGGCAGUUGCUGACACUGAGGCGCGACAGCGUGGGGAGCAAACAGG
Molecule: ribosomal RNA, 253 nt
Filed under: uncultured bacterium
Lineage: Bacteria
Description: partial 16S ribosomal RNA
Rfam family: Bacterial small subunit ribosomal RNA
Source: RNAcentral